GGAGCACGUGAAAUUCCGUCGGAAUCUGGGAGGACCAUCUCCUAAGGCUAAAUACUCUCUAGUGACCGAUAGUGAACCAGUACCGUGAGGGAAAGGUGAAAAGCACCCCGGAAGGGGAGUGAAAUAGAACCUGAAACCGUGUGCUUACAAGUAGUCAGAGCCCGUUAAUGGGUGAUGGCGUGCCUUUUGUAGAAUGAACCGGCGAGUUACGAUUUGAUGCAAGGUUAAGCAGUAAAUGUGGAGCCGUAGCGAAAGCGAGUCUGAAUAGGGCGUUUAGUAUUUGGUCGUAGACCCGAAACCAGGUGAUCUACCCUUGGUCAGGUUGAAGUUCAGGUAACACUGAAUGGAGGACCGAACCGACUUACGUUGAAAAGUGAGCGGAUGAACUGAGGGUAGCGGAGAAAUUCCAAUCGAACCUGGAGAUAGCUGGUUCUCUCCGAAAUAGCUUUAGGGCUAGCCUCAAGUGAUGAUUAUUGGAGGUAGAGCACUGUUUGGACGAGGGGCCCCUCUCGGGUUACCGAAUUCAGACAAACUCCGAAUGCCAAUUAAUUUAACUUGGGAGUCAGAACAUGGGUGAUAAGGUCCGUGUUCGAAAGGGAAACAGCCCAGACCACCAGCUAAGGUCCCAAAAUAUAUGUUAAGUGGAAAAGGAUGUGGCGUUGCCCAGACAACUAGGAUGUUGGCUUAGAAGCAGCCAUCAUUUAAAGAGUGCGUAAUAGCUCACUAGUCGAGUGACACUGCGCCGAAAAUGUACCGGGGCUAAACAUAUUACCGAAGCUGUGGAUUGUCCUUUGGACAAUGGUAGGAGAGCGUUCUAAGGGCGUUGAAGCAUGAUCGUAAGGACAUGUGGAGCGCUUAGAAGUGAGAAUGCCGGUGUGAGUAGCGAAAGACGGGUGAGAAUCCCGUCCACCGAUUGACUAAGGUUUCCAGAGGAAGGCUCGUCCGCUCUGGGUUAGUCGGGUCCUAAGCUGAGGCCGACAGGCGUAGGCGAUGGAUAACAGGUUGAUAUUCCUGUACCACCUAUAAUCGUUUUAAUCGAUGGGGGGACGCAGUAGGAUAGGCGAAGCGUGCGAUUGGAUUGCACGUCUAAGCAGUAAGGCUGAGUAUUAGGCAAAUCCGGUACUCGUUAAGGCUGAGCUGUGAUGGGGAGAAGACAUUGUGUCUUCGAGUCGUUGAUUUCACACUGCCGAGAAAAGCCUCUAGAUAGAAAAUAGGUGCCCGUACCGCAAACCGACACAGGUAGUCAAGAUGAGAAUUCUAAGGUGAGCGAGCGAACUCUCGUUAAGGAACUCGGCAAAAUGACCCCGUAACUUCGGGAGAAGGGGUGCUCUUUAGGGUUAACGCCCAGAAGAGCCGCAGUGAAUAGGCCCAAGCGACUGUUUAUCAAAAACACAGGUCUCUGCUAAACCGUAAGGUGAUGUAUAGGGGCUGACGCCUGCCCGGUGCUGGAAGGUUAAGAGGAGUGGUUAGCUUCUGCGAAGCUACGAAUCGAAGCCCCAGUAAACGGCGGCCGUAACUAUAACGGUCCUAAGGUAGCGAAAUUCCUUGUCGGGUAAGUUCCGACCCGCACGAAAGGCGUAACGAUUUGGGCACUGUCUCAACGAGAGACUCGGUGAAAUCAUAGUACCUGUGAAGAUGCAGGUUACCCGCGACAGGACGGAAAGACCCCGUGGAGCUUUACUGUAGCCUGAUAUUGAAAUUCGGCACAGCUUGUACAGGAUAGGUAGGAGCCUUUGAAACGUGAGCGCUAGCUUACGUGGAGGCGCUGGUGGGAUACUACCCUAGCUGUGUUGG
This 1794-nucleotide ribosomal RNA is filed under the name Staphylococcus aureus. RNAcentral's name for it is "bacterial LSU rRNA". It matches the Rfam family "Bacterial large subunit ribosomal RNA", at positions 419 to 2217 of the family's 2925-position model. Lineage: Bacteria; Bacillati; Bacillota; Bacilli; Caryophanales; Staphylococcaceae. The record is from RNAcentral.